AUUGAACGCUGGCGGCAUGCUUUACACAUGCAAGUCGAACGGCAGCGCGGGCUUCGGCCUGGCGGCGAGUGGCGAACGGGUGAGUAAUGCAUCGGAACGUGCCCAGUAGUGGGGGAUAGCCCGGCGAAAGCCGGAUUAAUACCGCAUACGACCUGAGGGUGAAAGCGGGGGACCGAAAGGCCUCGCGCUAUUGGAGCGGCCGAUGUCGCAUUAGCUAGUUGGUGGGGUAAAGGCUUACCAAGGCGACGAUCCGUAGCUGGUCUGAGAGGACGACCAGCCACACUGGGACUGAGACACGGCCCAGACUCCUACGGGAGGCAGCAGUGGGGAAUUUUGGACAAUGGGGGCAACCCUGAUCCAGCCAUGCCGCGUGCGGGAAGAAGGCCUUCGGGUUGUAAACCGCUUUUGUUCGGGAAGAAAUCCUCUGGGCUAAUACCCCGGGGGGAUGACGGUACCGGAAGAAUAAACACCGGCUAACUACGU
RNAcentral lists this ribosomal RNA (483 nucleotides) under uncultured bacterium. RNAcentral describes it as "partial 16S ribosomal RNA". It matches the Rfam family "Bacterial small subunit ribosomal RNA", at positions 29 to 506 of the family's 1533-position model. The record is from RNAcentral.